CCUACGGGGGGCUGCAGUGAGGAAUAUUGGUCAAUGGGAGAGAUCCUGAACCAGCCAAGCCGCGUGAGUGAAGACGGCCCUCUGGUUGUAAACUUCUUUUAUAUGGGAAUAAAAUGUUUCACGUGUGGGAUUUUGUAUGUACCAUAUGAAUAAGGAUCGGCUAACUCCGUGCCAGCAGCCGCGGUAAUACGGAGGAUCCGAGCGUUAUCCGGAUUUAUUGGGUUUAAAGGGAGCGUAGGUGGAUUGUUAAGUCAGUUGUGAAAGUUUGCGGCUCAACCGUAAAAUUGCAGUUGAAACUGGCAGUCUUGAGUACAGUAGAGGUGGGCGGAAUUCGUGGUGUAGCGGUGAAAUGCUUAGAUAUGACGAAGAACUCCGAUUGCGAAGGCAGUUCACUGGACUGCAACUGACACUGAGGCUCGAAAGUGUGGGUAUCAAACAGGAUUAGAUACCCUAGUAGUC
This 459-nucleotide ribosomal RNA is filed under the name uncultured bacterium. RNAcentral's name for it is "partial 16S ribosomal RNA". It matches the Rfam family "Bacterial small subunit ribosomal RNA", at positions 338 to 795 of the family's 1533-position model. The record is from RNAcentral.